This is a non-coding RNA of Lactuca sativa (garden lettuce), 734 nucleotides long. The record is from RefSeq and is a predicted model, not a curated record. Lineage: Eukaryota; Viridiplantae; Streptophyta; Magnoliopsida; Asterales; Asteraceae.
AUAAAAAGAAACGCUAAAAAGUAGAAUCUAUUCACGUGUUUGGUUCUACAAAGGGGAAUUUAAUCCCCACUCAUCUGAGAUACACUGCACUUCAUCUUCAUCUGCUUUCCUUUCUCCCUCUUCAUCUACACUUCCUUUGCCGGCGAACAAUCUCUCUUCUGAAAGCCCACCAACUUAACUUCGCCACCGAUGCACCAAACGUCCUCAUCAGCAGCCUCUGUGGAAGCAUUUAUAUGAAAAAUCAGUGUUAUCGAUAACUGUGUCCAGAUUGCAAUUGAUCAAACGGGUGGUGGACAUGGUUGCAGGAAGAACACAUGGGGAAAAAAAGGAGAUCCGGGUCUCCGCUCUCCGGUCACCACUCACAAGAUAGUUUUGUUGAUUUUAGGACUUUAUCCACUACAAGAAAAAACGAUUAUUAGCGGCGACAAAAAAGCACCGCAAAGAGUUUGCUUAGUCACCAAUAAAAGUAAUAAUGGAGACAAGUCGCUGCUACUGUCCCUCGUUAUUGAUCAAAAUGUCGCCGGUAAAGCUUAUUGUCGCCAUUAGUAGAUCCAAAUGAGUUGUACUUCCAAUUAGUUUAAACCAAUAUAUACUUGUCGUGCUUCACCACAUAUAUAGAUAUAUUUGUCGUGCUUCGCCACAUAUACUUAUCCUUAACAUAUGUGCGUGUGUGUGUGAACAUAAUGUUGAAAUGUAAAACUCAUUUUUCUAAAUAUUUGAUUUCCCUAGCAUUA